GGAAAGAUGAAUCAAAGAAGGUAAUAAUCCUGUAGUCGAAAAUGUUGUCUCUCUUGAGUGGAUCCUGAGUACGACGGAGCACGUGAAAUUCCGUCGGAAUCUGGGAGGACCAUCUCCUAAGGCUAAAUACUCUCUAGUGACCGAUAGUGAACCAGUACCGUGAGGGAAAGGGGAAAAGCACCCCGGAAGGGGAGUGAAAUAGAACCUGAAACCGUGUGCUUACAAGUAGU
This 230-nucleotide ribosomal RNA is filed under the name Staphylococcus aureus. Its description in RNAcentral is "partial 23S ribosomal RNA". It matches the Rfam family "Bacterial large subunit ribosomal RNA", at positions 344 to 574 of the family's 2925-position model. The record is from RNAcentral. Lineage: Bacteria; Bacillati; Bacillota; Bacilli; Caryophanales; Staphylococcaceae.